UAUAAGACUGGGAUAACUUCGGGAAACCGGAGCUAAUACCGGAUAACAUUUAGAACCGCAAGGUUCUAAAGUGAAANGAUGGUUUUGCUAUCACUUAUAGAUGGACCCGCGCCGUAUUAGCUAGUUGGUAAGGUAACGGCUUACCAAGGCGACGAUACGUAGCCGACCUGAGAGGGUGAUCGGCCACACUGGAACUGAGACACGGUCCAGACUCCUACGGGAGGCAGCAGUAGGGAAUCUUCCGCAAUGGGCGAAAGCCUGACGGAGCAACGCCGCGUGAGUGAUGAAGGGUUUCGGCUCGUAAAACUCUGUUAUUAGGGAAGAACAAAUGUGUAAGUAACUGUGCACAUCUUGACGGUACCUAAUCAGAAAGCCACGGCUAACUACGUGCCAGCAGCCGCGGUAAUACGUAGGUGGCAAGCGUUAUCCGGAAUUAUUGGGCGUAAAGCGCGCGUAGGCGGUUUCUUAAGUCUGAUGUGAAAGCCCACGGCUCAACCGUGGAGGGUCAUUGGAAACUGGGAAACUUGAGUGCAGAAGAGGAAAGUGGAAUUCCAUGUGUAGCGGUGAAAUGCGCAGAGAUAUGGAGGAACACCAGUGGCGAAGGCGACUUUCUGGUCUGUAACUGACGCUGAUGUGCGAAAGCGUGGGGAUCAAACAGGAUUAGAUACCCUGGUAGUCCACGCCGUAAACGAUGAGUGCUAAGUGUUAGGGGGUUUCCGCCCCUUAGUGCUGCAGCUAACGCAUUAAGCACUCCGCCUGGGGAGUACGACCGCAGGUUGAAACUCAGAG
Molecule: ribosomal RNA, 789 nt
Filed under: uncultured Staphylococcus sp.
Lineage: Bacteria; Bacillati; Bacillota; Bacilli; Caryophanales; Staphylococcaceae
Description: bacterial SSU rRNA
Rfam family: Bacterial small subunit ribosomal RNA
Source: RNAcentral